This is a long non-coding RNA of Dermochelys coriacea (leatherback sea turtle), 202 nucleotides long. RefSeq lists it as uncharacterized. NCBI's taxonomy places the organism in Eukaryota, Metazoa, Chordata, Testudines, Dermochelyidae. The transcript has 4 exons. The record is from RefSeq and is a predicted model, not a curated record.
UAAUCUUCAAGCCCCUGCAUAACUUAGUCCUUGCCUGCUUCAUUUUUCCUUUGCUUCCUCCCUUCUCUGUUCAAAAUGUGCAGCUACCUAACCUCUGCUGUGUCCUUACUGCUGUUUGAGUCUGGGCCCUUUUCCAAGCGACUUCUAAUGUAUGCCUGGACCACACUCCUGAAUCCAUCUGAUGCCUCCAAUUUCAAGGCUA